ACAGUAUAAUCUUCUAUGUGCCGUUGGACAUAAUCAAGUUCACAGUGCGGUAUGGCUUGAGUGGAGAAGCCUGGAAACUGAUAUUUGAAAGAAAGGUUAGUGUUUAUUAAGAGUUAUUUAAUUAAAUAAGGAGAAUGAUAUACAUACAAGUAGUUGUGUGGUGAAUUUGAACAGACAGCGUUUACAUAUAAGAAAGACUACGGAAAAGAAGAAAGGGCAGCAAAGGAGGAGAAUGGAAGGGGGUCUUCUUUGAUAGCUGAAAAGGCCAGAAGACGUGCUGAAAUAGCCAGGCUGG
This 295-nucleotide long non-coding RNA is filed under the name Glycine max (soybean). Its description in RNAcentral is "long non-coding RNA (GMAX_LNC000712)". The record is from RNAcentral. Lineage: Eukaryota; Viridiplantae; Streptophyta; Magnoliopsida; Fabales; Fabaceae.